AUUGAACGCUGGCGGCAGGCCUAACACAUGCAAGUCGAGCGGAUGAAGGGAGCUUGCGCCUGGCUUCAGCGGCGGACGGGUGAGUAAUGCCUAGGAAUCUGCCUGGGAGUGGGGGAUUACGUCGGGAAAAGGGCGCUAAUACCGCAUACGUACUGAGGGAGAAAGAGGGGGAUCUUCGGACCUUACGCUAUCAGAUGAGCCUAGGUCGGAUUAGCUAGUUGGUGGGGUAAAGGCCUACCAAGGCGACGAUCCGUAACUGGUAUGAGAGGAUGACCAGUCAGACUGGAACUGAGACACGGUCCAGACUCCUACGGGAGGCAGCAGUGGGGAAUAUUGGACAAUGGGCGAGAGCCUGAUCCAGCCAUGCCGCGUGUGUGAAGAAGGUCUUCGGAUUGUAAAGCACUUUAAGUUGGGAGGAAGGGCAGUAAGUUAAUACCUUGCUGUUUUGACGUUACCAACAGAAUAAGCACCGGCUAACUUCGUG
Molecule: ribosomal RNA, 484 nt
Filed under: uncultured bacterium
Lineage: Bacteria
Description: partial 16S ribosomal RNA
Rfam family: Bacterial small subunit ribosomal RNA
Source: RNAcentral